GGGGUGUGCUCAGCAGGUGGCCUGAAGAAUGGCUCCUUUGUUUAUAACACACUCAGUAGGAAUCUAGGGUCAUUGUGAAGAGGGGUACAACACUUUUGACUUCCCUUUGAGCAAGUGUCCUACAUGU
This is a small nucleolar RNA of Cavia porcellus (domestic guinea pig), 127 nucleotides long. RefSeq annotates it as small nucleolar RNA SNORA11. Lineage: Eukaryota; Metazoa; Chordata; Mammalia; Rodentia; Caviidae. The transcript has a single exon. The record is from RefSeq and is a predicted model, not a curated record.